AUUGAACGCUGGCGGCAUGCUUUACACAUGCAAGUCGAACGGUAACAGGCCUUCGGGUGCUGACGAGUGGCGAACGGGUGAGUAAUGCAUCGGAACGUACCCAGAGGUGGGGGAUAACGCAGCGAAAGCUGUGCUAAUAGCGCAUGUGAUCUGAGGAUGAAAGCGGGGGACCGAGCAGCAAUGUUUGGCCUCGCGCCUUUGGAGCGGCCGAUGUCGGAUUAGCUAGUUGGUGGGGUAAAGGCCUACCAAGGCGACGAUCCGUAGCUGGUCUGAGAGGACGACCAGCCACACUGGGACUGAGACACGGCCCAGACUCCUACGGGAGGCAGCAGUGGGGAAUUUUGGACAAUGGGCGCAAGCCUGAUCCAGCAAUGCCGCGUGCGGGAAGAAGGCCUUCGGGUUGUAAACCGCUUUUGGCAGGAACGAAACGGUGUCCGCUAAUACCGGGCGCUAAUGACGGUACCUGCAGAAUAAGCACCGGCUAACUACGUG
Molecule: ribosomal RNA, 492 nt
Filed under: uncultured bacterium
Lineage: Bacteria
Description: partial 16S ribosomal RNA
Rfam family: Bacterial small subunit ribosomal RNA
Source: RNAcentral